GGUAGUCAUGGGAAAGAAGUGUCCGCAGUAGCUUUCUAGUUACCAGUGUUACAUUUUGAAACUGGACACUACCUGCCGCGGACAUGGCCAACAUUGCGAAGAAAGUGUCAUGGUCGAGCCGAGGCGACGAUCGCGGAGAGAGAACUCCACUGUUAAACGGAGCCGAGGACGUUAAAUACACAAAACAGUUAUCCGGAGGCAGUAAAUUUUAUAUAGGCAGGCUGAGCACUGUGGAUCUUGACGAGGAGAUCACAACCGAAGAGGACAUUGCAAGGAGUCGGCCGAAGGAAAUCCCUCACAAUGAAAAGCUGCUGUCCCUCAAAUAUGAGAGUCUCGAUUAUGAUAACAGUGAAAAUCAGUUGUUUUUGGAGGAAGAAAGACGGAUGAGUCAAAUGAGCUUUAGUUGUCUGGAGAUCACGAGAUGGCUGAUCUGUGGUCUUAUUGGAUUCCUCACUGGUCUCAUCGCGUGCUUCAUAGACAUUGCUGUUGAGAACCUUGCUGGGGUUAAGUACUUUGUGGUCAAACAGAACAUAGAGAAAUUCACAGAGCUGGGAGGCCUGUCCAUCUCUUUGAUACUUUGGGCAGUACUAAACUCCGCUUUCGUGAUGGUCGGUGGCAUCAUUGUUGCUUUUAUUGAGCCCAUCGCUGCCGGUAGUGGAAUCCCUCAGAUAAAAUGCUACCUAAAUGGAGUGAAAAUCCCUCGUGUUGUUCGGCUCAAGACUCUGGUAGUUAAGGUCUGUGGUGUGAUCUGCUCAGUUGCAGGAGGUCUCGCCGUAGGAAAGGAAGGGCCCAUGAUUCACUCUGGAGCAGUGGUGGCCGCGGGAGUGUCUCAGGGCCGAAGCACUUCAUUGAAGAAAGACUUUAAGAUUUUUGAGUAUUUCCGUAGAGACACGGAGAAGAGAGACUUUGUCUCAGCUGGAGCAGCGGCUGGAGUCUCUGCUGCCUUUGGAGCCCCUGUUGGUGGGGUUCUGUUCAGUUUAGAGGAAGGAGCUUCAUUCUGGAACCAGAUGCUGACCUGGAGAAUUUUCUUUGCCUCGAUGAUCUCCACAUUCACACUGAACUUUUUCCUGAGCAUUUACCAUGAGAAGCCUGGAGACCUCUCCAACCCAGGUCUCAUUAACUUUGGCCGCUUUGACAGCGACUGCGUGGAGUAUAAUUUAUAUGAAAUUCCUCUCUUCAUUAUCAUGGGAGCUUUAGGAGGUUUGCUUGGAGCACUGUUUAAUCUCCUCAAUUAUUGGCUAACGAUUUUCAGAAUUAGGUACAUCCACCGGCCAUGUCUGCAAGUGAUGGAGGCCAUGCUGGUCGCUGCGGUGACCGCCACGGUUUCUUUUGCCAUGAUCUAUUUCUCCAAUGACUGUCAGCCGUUAGGAGAGGACCACACUGAGGAAUAUACUCUACAGCUCUUCUGUGCUGAUGGUGAAUAUAACACCAUGGCAACAGCUUUCUUCAACACACCUGAGCGGAGUGUGAGGAGUCUGUUUCAUAAUCCUCCAGGUUCUUACAACCCCCAGACCCUGGGUCUCUUCACUCUGGUCUAUUUCUUCCUGGCUGUCUGGACGUAUGGCCUGACUGUGUCAGCAGGAGUGUUCAUUCCCUCUUUGCUGAUUGGAGCAGCCUGGGGUCGACUCUCCGGAAUCUUCCUGUCCAGCAUUACUUCCAGCCAAUCAAUUUGGGCAGAUCCUGGAAAGUAUGCUCUCAUAGGUGCUGCGGCCCAGCUCGGUGGCAUUGUUCGAAUGACCCUCAGUCUCACCGUAAUCCUUGUAGAAGCCACCGGUAACGUGACCUAUGGCUUCCCCAUCAUGCUUGUGCUGAUUACUGCCAAGAUUGUUGGGGAUUACUUUGUAGAGGGCCUGUAUGAUAUCCAUAUUAAGCUGCAAAGUGUUCCUUUCCUUCAUUGGGAGGCUCCUCCUACUUCUCAUUGGCUGACUGCCAGAGAGGUCAUGAGCUCUCCAGUCACCUGCUUCAACAGAGUGGAGAAGGUUGGCACCAUAGUGGAUGUUCUUAGCAACACCAGUCACAAUGGCUUCCCAGUGGUUGUCCAUACAGUUGAGGUCCAAGAUGAGCCAGGCAAAAUCUGUGGCCUUAUUCUCCGCUCUCAGCUCAUUGUUCUUCUCAAGCAUAAGGUGUUUGUAGAGAGGGCAUCUUCACGUCUCAGCCAGAGAAAACUAGCGCUGAAGGACUUCAGAGAUGCAUAUCCACGCUUUCCCCCCAUCCAGUCCAUCCACGUCUCUCAGGACGAGAGAGAGUGCAUGAUGGAUCUGACAGAGUUCAUGAACCCAACCCCUUACACUGUGCCUCAGGAGACUUCACUCCCUCGAGUGUUUAAGUUGUUUCGGGCGUUGGGACUGAGGCAUCUAGUGGUGGUUGAUAAUGAGAACAGGGUUGUGGGUCUGGUGACCAGGAAGGAUCUUGCACGCUAUCACCUGGGUAAACACGGUCUGGAGGAGCUUCAACUGGCUCAGACGUAACUGAUCAUCAUGUGCAGCUUGUAUGCUGCCUUCUGACCACCAGCUUUGGACCUUAAUAACUCAGGGGUUGGUCAGAGUCUGUCUUGUGUCAAAGAUGACAAACCUGCAACCUACACAACAUUUGUUUUCACAUUCAGUAUUUUAAGGGCUCGGUUCUUUGAAAAAUACAUUUUUGCUCCCUUUUCAUGCAGCCUGCAUUUAUUUUUGCAUGUAUAAGUAGAGCAGAAUAGCACAUCAAGUUAUAUGAUUCGUUUUGCACUAUGUGUCUUUAUUUAUUGUAUUUUGGAGCAGAUGAGUUGUUUGGGAGCCCUCACUUUGCUUGUCUCUCCAAAAGCAUCUUUCUUUGUGACCUCUCGUGUUUAUAAUGGCUAGUUAUUAUGCAAGAUUCAUGCCAAUAUGUAUUGUUUUACUGAUGACAAUGUAUAUUGAUGUAACAGUGUGUCUUUAUUCAUUGUCAUUAUAGAGUCUGCACUGCAGUGAUACAAACAGGAUUGUGCGAUUUUUGUUGACAAAAAUUCCUGCACAAUAUAAAUUAUUGGUAGUUCACCCAAAAAUGAAAAUACUCUCAUCAUUUACUCACCCAGAUGUGUAUGACUUUUUCAUCUGCUGAACACAAAUGAAGAUUUUUAGAAGAAUUUCUCAGAUCUGUAGGUUCAUACAAUGCAAGUGAAUGGGUGCCAAAAUUUUGAAGCUCUAAAAUCCGCAUAAGGGCAACAUAAAAGUGGUUAAAUCAAUGUCUUCUGAAGUGAUAUGAUAGGUGUGGGUGAGAAACAGAUCAAUAUUUAAGUCCUUUUAAAUACUAUAAAUUCUCCUCCCUGCUCAGUCAAUCUCCACUUUAGGCUGUGUCUCGUUUGGAAGGCUGCGUGCUAGGUAGGACGUGUCCUUUGAAGGCUGCAGUAUACUGAGCGUCCUCCUUUAAACAAGUCUCAUUUAAACGAGAUGGCCUUCGUAGGACAAACGGAAACGUAACGUAACAUGGUUGCUAUGACAGCACACCACUCUUUAACAAGCAGGAGCGCUUUGAGUGAGAAGGGAACAAAGUCCCUCUGGAAGGGAAUGUAUGAGGUAAAUUUUAGGAGAGUUAUAAUGAUGUAAAGAGAAAAGAAAAUAGAUUUUAAAGGUGUACUUUUAGUCUAGUACUUUAUUUUAAUUAUAUAUUAAUAUAAUUAUACAUAUUAUAUACUCUGCACCAAUCUACUGAGGUACUUCAACUUGGGAAUUAACUUUACUUGCAUUUGAACAUCAUAUUUAUGGGCAAAUUGGCGUACAUUUUUUUAGACAUUUCCAUUGAAGCAAAGAAUUGUGGGUUGUGAGUGCCCACGAAGGAUACACCUCAUGCAUCUUCUGAAUUCCCUUGAAAGAAGGUCGCAUUCGAAAGCUGCAUUCGAAGUGUCCUCCUCUCUUUUUUUAAACGAGACAGCCUCGAUGACGUAUGCGGCUGACAAAUGCGACCUCCGGAGGUCGCAUCCUUCCAAACGAGACACAGCCAGAGAUUCACUUUCCCAUUCUUCUUUUUGUGUUUUUGGUUAUUCACAAUCUUAAUGCAUAUCGCCCCCCUACUGGGCAGAGAGGAGAAUUUAUGAUAAAAAUGACUUAAAUAUUGAUCUGUUUCUCACCCACACCUAUCAUAUCGUGUCUGAACACAUGGAUUUAACCACUGGAGUCAUAUGGAUUACUUUUAUGCUCCCUUUAUGUGGAUUUUGGAGCUUCAAAAUUUUGGCUCCCAUUCAGUUUUCAUUAUGAGGACCUACAGAGUUGAAAUAUUCUUCUGAAAAUCUUAAUUUGUGUUCUGCAGAAGUAAGAAAGUCAUGCACAUCUGGAAUGCCAGGAGGUGAUGCCCUUAAUGAAAAAUUAGCCUGUAAGGAGUGUAUCACUCUGUGGCAAGGAGGAGGGCGGCGCUGGGCCGUGAUGAUGCACACCUGGCCCCAAAUCAGGCUAAUCAAGCCCACAAGAGGGAUAAAGGUGGCCGGAGACGGCAGUUCGAGAUAGAGAGAGAGCAACAGACAGCUGUCCUGUAUGUGUGCCCUAUAUGCGUUUGUGUUGUAUGUCUUUUGUUUUAAGUUAAUCAUUAAAUUAUUAUUUAUAUUGUCAAGCCGGUUCUCACCUCUUCCUUUCCCUUUUAACCUGUUAAAUUGGUGCCGAAGUCCGGGAAGGAGGAGGGAUGCACCGUAGUAGAGUCCUCGCCGCUGCCAUCCGCCGGGGGACAGGAGCACGGGGCCUGAAAGUGGAGGAACGACCACCGACUGCGAAGGGAGGAGGGGCUCCUUACCGACUGCCUGUAGUGGUCGGGCCACUGCCAGGAGCGGAGGAGACCCCUACCGGCUGCUAAAAUGCAGCGGGGUCAAAGAUAAGACUGCCAUCUGCGAGCAUGGAGGGGCUCACUGCUGACCGCCUGGAGUUUUUUUUUCUCUCUCUCUCUCCCGCUGUCGCUCCGUGUUGGCCUUUCCCUCUAAUUUUUUUUUGUUUUUCCCUCCCCUUGUCUCCCUGCCAGGUCCGAGAAGGCGGGGAAGACCUGCCGGCAGGUUUUAUCGCUCAAUUAACACAAAGUAAUGCAUCAACUGCAAUAAAAAAAAUAAAAAAAAAACAGGGUGGAGUAGAACGGUGCCUGUAGAUUCAGAGUUCAUAUUAGUGUGUCCUAAUCCAGCUACUAUAAAUCUCAUUCUCUCAAUCCUUUCAAAUCAAAAGGUACCACAAUAUAGCUGUCUGGUAUCAAAUCAUGCUGUGGCUUUUGGUAACUGUCAACCAUCCUUACGUGAGAGGAAUUUAAAGAUUAUUUCAACUAAAUUUUUCAUUAAUCCAUCAUGUAUAUUAUUAAUAAUGUAUGUAAUCUAACAUAAAAUGUUGAACACAAUCUUGGGUACAUCAUGGUCAAUGUGAUUUUGCCAAGUAGGAUGUGUUCCAGAUCCAGAAUGAUCAUUUCAGUGAUUCAGGAUACAUUUGCUAAUGUUUAUCCAGAAACAUCAACGCCAUGCUGAUCCUGGACCAUCAUUGCCACAAUGUUGAUCCUGGACCAUCAUACACAUUUCAGUCCUGGGUAGAUUUGCUGAUGUUGAUCCAGGACCAUAAGUGCUUUAUUGAACUUGAAUCAUUGUCUCCAUGUUGAUCCUGUACCAGAAUAAUCAUUUCAGUCCUGGGUAGAUUUUCUCAUUUUGAUCCAGGACUGUCAUUGAGUGCUUCUCAAACGAAAGGCUGUAGUGUGGUUAGGCUGUGUCCUUCCU
Myxocyprinus asiaticus (Chinese sucker) is the source of this 5686-nucleotide RNA transcript. It is a transcript of the gene named H(+)/Cl(-) exchange transporter 7-like, with no coding region annotated. NCBI's taxonomy places the organism in Eukaryota, Metazoa, Chordata, Actinopteri, Cypriniformes, Catostomidae. The record is from RefSeq and is a predicted model, not a curated record. The transcript is spliced from 26 exons.